RNAcentral lists this unclassified non-coding RNA (328 nucleotides) under soil metagenome. RNAcentral describes it as "partial contains 5.8S ribosomal RNA, internal transcribed spacer 2, and large subunit ribosomal RNA". The stretch from base 1 to 120 matches the Rfam family "5.8S ribosomal RNA", at positions 35 to 154 of the family's 154-position model. The record is from RNAcentral.
GAUGAAGAACGCAGCGAAAUGCGAUAAGUAAUGUGAAUUGCAGAAUUCAGUGAAUCAUCGAAUCUUUGAACGCACAUUGCGCCCCUUGGUAUUCCGAGGGGCAUGCCUGUUCGAGCGUCAUUAUAACCCCUCAAGCUCAGCUUGGUGUUGGGGCCUGCCGCACGGGUAGCCCUUAAAAUCAGUGGCGGUGCCAUCUGGCUCUAAGCGUAGUAAUUCUUCUCGCUAUAGAGUCCCGGUGGAUGCUUGCCAUUAACCCCCAAUUUUCUAUGGUUGACCUCGGAUCAGGUAGGGAUACCCGCUGAACUUAAGCAUAUCAAUAAGCGGAGGA